Molecule: long non-coding RNA, 2676 nt
Organism: Epinephelus moara (kelp grouper)
Lineage: Eukaryota; Metazoa; Chordata; Actinopteri; Perciformes; Serranidae
Exons: 2
Source: RefSeq, a predicted model, not a curated record
AAGGUUGGGAGAAGGGUGACAGAAAACCAGAGAAAUGUGUCCAUAGUUCAUUGGCAAAAUGCUACAGACUCAUUUGUAUUUUCUGCACUUAAUAGCAGCUUACAGCUUUAAUGACAUGACUGACUGACACAUUAAUUACAUUUACAAGCACAAAACAGUCUGCUUUUUGCCUUUAUUCUGAAAAAGACAAUACCUACGCAGUUUUGUGCAUUUGCCCUUCAAAACAUGUAACAACGAAACGGCUGGAGCUGCUUGUGCCAUUUUGCGUCAAACUGGUAUUUUUCCACCGGCGGCGGGCCUGUUAGACCGUGCAAACACAGCCUCCUUCUUUCAUCCCUUUAACCACCUUCUUGAAAAGGUUGAUGUUGUGAUACAUGUGCAUAUCCAAAAAAACUGUUAAUAUCUAAGUAUUUCACAAGGUUUGAAAGUAGACAUGUAUCUCUUUCCCACCAGAAAUGUAAGCUUUUCUUUUGAGCAUGCAUCUCAACCCAAGGUUUGCAAUCUGUUGGCUAGUUGGUUUGUGCACCAUGCACAGAGCUGACUGUAACAGACAAGAGGCCGUGUGUUGCAAAGUGCAGUAAAAACCCAGCUGAGACGCAUAUUCUGAAUGCACUGUAUACAUGUCCAAAGAAUGCUCCUUAAACCCAAAUAAUACUGGCAUAUCCCACAUGUGCUAAUUGUAAAAUGCCACAUUCAGAAUUUUGGAAUAUCCAAAUAGAAGAUGCUGUUUACAUGACCUGCAUCAGUUGUGGAAUACUGUUAUUCCCGGAAAAAUAGUGCAAUAUACUGUAAGUGUGCAUGCAAACACAGUCAGUGGUUUGCUCUGGAAAAUAACUGUGACCUUUGGUUAAAGGACUCUGAAAGUUUUCCAAAUAGCUCCAGUUUUAUUCCUCGUUGACGAAUUCCUGAUUUGAUGCAAAGCCUCCACAUGGAACCAAACCUAUUUUCUCACUCUUUUACUUUGUUUUUUUUGUUCUUCUGUUAACACUGAGUGGCGGUAGGACAUGAAUGUUUGUCCUACAGUAGCAGGAGUUAUCACCAUGUCAAAGCAUAUUUGGGAAAUCUGUUUGCAUCAACUUUUACCACAUCUUCUUAUUAAAGAUACACCACUUUUACACCCCCGCCAAGUAUAAUAUUCAACUCCAUAUCAGAAGCAUAUCAGGUACAUGUAUGUAUGACUGUCGUAAUAAAAACCUGCGUCCGGCGGCUCGACUGUUUGCGUAGCUCGGGCAGAGGACGACCACAAAGUUCUGUUUUCUUUUCUCUGCGGGGGCUGAAGGGGGAGUGAUAAAGGCGGCCUUUGAGACUGUGAUGCCCCUGCCUGAAAGAUUAAUCAUUCAGAUGCAAAGCAGAGCCCCGUGGGCACUGACAGCCACCCCGAGAUCCUGGGACUCAAACGGGCCUAUUGACCGUCAUUCUGAGGCCUCCACCCCAAACGCUGGUGGUGACAGUGACACACUAUGUCAGCAUGCUGAUUCAUCAGAGGCUGAAACAGCAUCAUGACUCACGGUUUUGACUGAGCAAUUAGGCUCUUAUAUUGGUUUAAUAUGACUAAUCAGUUAUUAGCAGCUGAGCUCAUGACAGCAUGAGCUCAUCACGGCAGGGGUGAGGAAGUGCACAACAGUUUUGGGAGCUUUUCAACAUAUUCCUCUGGAAAUGUGGCCGGGCUAAGAAUAUCACUGUGAAUUAGGCCUCUGUCCCACUUGGAGCAUCUACAAAGUUCCUUGUGAGGCCACGUGUGUUUGUACAUGAGCAGGGCCACGAUGAUCAAAGGGCGAACAUUUCAGGACUGCACAGUUACGGCGUGUGCUGCCAAAAGGACCCGGGCGGUAAUGAUUGUGUGUGUGUGUGUGUGUGUGUGUGUGUGUGUGUGUGUGUGUGUUUGUGUCCACAGCUCUGCUUUCUCUCUCACCUCUGCUGUCCAGCCGCUGACACACACCAGAGCCCACCGGCUGCCUUUCAUGUGGUUCACAGCUUAAUAGGUCUCACUGAUAAUUUCAAUGAAACACUUCCUUUGCCCCGCUACACUGCCUGGCUAUAAUCUACAGCUAAUUACGCUGAUCUGAGGUCUGGCAGCGAUCAUACACUGACUGGGAGCUGACCACACCUGUCAGUCACAAGGCGAUUCAGGAGUUCAUCGCUUUGUUAAUCUCUGAUGUCAAAUUUGGCUCGGGCACAUCAGGAAAGGGUGAGUGAAAGCUUCCAAAGGUUUCUGAACACUUCCUAUCCAGGGCUGUAAUACCAACCAGACAAAGCAGGGAACUUUACUUGGGCUCCAGAUCCCCAAGAGGCCACCGAAAGUAUCUGUUUCACUGUGUGCCAAUCCGUUUGUGGACUGAUCAACUGUAAGUUUGUUUGGAAAAAUGUAAAACUGUAGGUUCUGCUGUAUUACCUGAUCAUGAGAUCCUGUGUUGAGGUGUCAAAUUCUUUUACAGUUUUGUUUUAAAAGCUUUAACAGCUUGCAUAUUUUAGCUGGUAUUGUGCAUAUUUGUGUUUAAUCAAAUGAGCACACAGCAAACCUGACUGAGGUUAUAGCAUCCAAUAAUGUAAUAAUUCCCUGAAAAUAUAAUAACGCUUAAAAAUGUAAUAAAAUUUGCACUUCGUUUGACUAAAAUGUAACGAAAUACCAUAAAUGUAAUUACUUGACCAUACAUGUAAUAAAAUGUCCUGACUGAU